This is a long non-coding RNA of Homo sapiens (human), 572 nucleotides long. Ensembl annotates it as USP3 antisense RNA 1. Its record names the gene USP3-AS1. Lineage: Eukaryota; Metazoa; Chordata; Mammalia; Primates; Hominidae. The record is from Ensembl.
GCAGUGCGCGCAGGCGUGGGCAGCAGCGCAGCAGGCGCGCCAGGCAGUCGUCGGUAACGUGGCCGCAGCCCGAGAGCGUGACGGACGCCAGGUUGGGGCACCUGUGAGGAGAGUGCGGUGACCCGGGGCUCACUGGCUUGUUAAAGCUACCCAACCGCCCCAUGGGACCGAGUGGACUCAUUUACCGAGGAGGACUCGGGCCCUGCGAGGGAAAAAACAAAGAGCGGACUGUCCCCCUGCCCAGCCAUCCUCAGCCAUUCCUCCCGACCUGAGCUGAGUGCCAGAAGAACCAGAUUCAGUAGACGUUCAUCAGUACCUACUAUGUGCCAGGUCACUUCAUCCUGGCCCAGGUACUGCAGCUCCAAAUCGUGGGGAUUCUGUAAGAGCUUGCUACCUGUUGACUGAGGAGGCCCACGAGUUGAGCAAAAAGAAUGAUUCCUCAGCAGUCAUUGUGAAAUUUUGUGGGCCACAAGUAUUGUGCACACAUGAUCCUUGAUUUAGAGUCAACCUGAUGUCCAUUAUAGCUGUGGAAAGGCAGCAGGCAGUUGUGUCGCUCUUCACAAUAAGGAACA